CACGUAGGGUGCGAGCGUUGUCCGGAAUUAUUGGGCGUAAAGAGCUCGUAGGCGGUGUGUCGCGUCGGCCGUGAAAACCUGCAGCUUAACUGUGGGCUUGCGGUCGAUACGGGCAUCACUGGAGUUCGGCAGGGGAGACUGGAAUUCCUGGUGUAGCGGUGAAAUGCGCAGAUAUCAGGAGGAACACCGGUGGCGAAGGCGGGUCUCUGGGCAAUAACUGACGCUGAGGAGCGAAAGCGUGGGGAGCGAACAGG
RNAcentral lists this ribosomal RNA (254 nucleotides) under uncultured bacterium. Its description in RNAcentral is "partial 16S ribosomal RNA". It matches the Rfam family "Bacterial small subunit ribosomal RNA", at positions 524 to 776 of the family's 1533-position model. The record is from RNAcentral.